RNAcentral lists this ribosomal RNA (289 nucleotides) under uncultured Gemella sp. Its description in RNAcentral is "partial 16S ribosomal RNA". The record is from RNAcentral. Lineage: Bacteria; Bacillati; Bacillota; Bacilli; Caryophanales; Gemellaceae.
CUACCGGGGUAUCUAAUCCUGUUUGCUCCCCACGCUUUCGCGCCUCAGUGUCAGUUACAGGCCAAAAAGCCGCCUUCGCCACUGGUGUUCCUCCUAAUCUCUACGCAUUUCACCGCUACACUAGGAAUUCCACUUUUCUCUCCUGCACUCAAGUUUAACAGUUUCCAAUGACCCUCCACGGUUGAGCCGUGGGCUUUCACAUCAGACUUAUUAAACCACCUGCGCGCGCUUUACGCCCAAUAAUUCCGGACAACGCUUGCCACCUACGUAUUACCGCGGCUGCUGGCAC